UGGGCAGGAACUGGGAACCUCUGUGGAACUUUUACUUUUUCUUUUUUUUUGGCCCUGAGCUAACACCUGUUGCCAAUCUUUAUUUUUUUCCUUCUUCUCCCCAAAGCCCCAGGACAUAGUUGUCUAUUCUAGUUGUAGGUCCCUCUAGUUCCUCUAUGUGGGACGCUGCCUCAGGAUGGCACUAUGAGUCGUGCUAUGCCCACACAGGAUCCAAACUGGCUGCCAAACCCUGGGCUGCCAGAGCGGAGCCCUGAACUUAACCACUCAGCACUGGCCCCCCUGGAGACUUUUUCUAUAAAGGCAGCCCCCAGUCUUUGUUCUCGAAGAGCAGACUUUCAGUUUGCUGCUGACGGCUACAGCGUCCCAAGUUUUCAAACUUUGCGAGCAAUAAAGCCUUCCUCACUGGAUUCUGGUAUUCCAGAGACUAAAGCCUUUCUCACUGAAUUCUGGUGUUCCAGAGACUAAAGCCUUCCUCGCUGAAUUCCGGUGUUCCUGAGAAUAAAGCCUUCCUCACUGAAUUCCGGUGUUCCGGAGACUAAAGCCUUCCUCACUGGAUUCCGGUGUUCCUGAGACUAAAGCCUUCCUCACUGGAUUCCGGUGUUCCUGAGACUAAAGCCUUCCUCACUGGAUUCCGGUGUUCCUGAGACUAAAGCCUUCCUCACUGGAUUCCGGUGUUCCGGAGACUAAAGCCUUCCUCACUGAAUUCCGGUGUUCCGGAGACUAAAGCCUUCCUCGCUGAAUUCUGCAGAUAUUGUUCCAUUUGACCUGGAGAAAGUCUGAUUCCACCUGAGGCCCAUAUCCCCCAGGCACCUCUCCGGAAGCCAAUCCACUCCAGACUCCAGAGGCCUCAUCUCCGACACCUGUGGACACCUGAUGAAAACAGUCUCUCCUUGAUAUAUGAUUCUUAGGUUUUAAUAUGUGGGAUAUCUUAUUGGAUCCAUAAUGCCAAAGAAAACAGUUUUGCCUCUCAUCACUGAAUUCUACGUGGGACACCUACCACAGCAUGGGUUUUGCCAAGUGAUGCCAUGUCUGCACCUGGGAUCCAAACCAGCGAACCCUGGGCUGCCGAGAAGCGGAACUUUCAAACUUAACCACUGUGCCACUGGGCUGGCCCUAAUGACAUUUUUAAGACUCUACAAACCCAAAGUCACAAAG
This 1155-nucleotide long non-coding RNA is filed under the name Equus caballus (horse). RNAcentral describes it as "lncRNA (ENSECAG00000045724.1)". The record is from RNAcentral. Lineage: Eukaryota; Metazoa; Chordata; Mammalia; Perissodactyla; Equidae.